This 229-nucleotide unclassified non-coding RNA is filed under the name Glomeromycetes sp. RNAcentral describes it as "partial contains 5.8S ribosomal RNA and internal transcribed spacer 2". The stretch from base 1 to 65 matches the Rfam family "5.8S ribosomal RNA", at positions 84 to 154 of the family's 154-position model. The record is from RNAcentral. Lineage: Eukaryota; Fungi; Glomeromycota; Glomeromycetes.
GUGAAUCAUCAAAUUUUUGAACGCAAAUUGCACUCUCUUCGGAGAGUAUGCCUGUUUGAGGGUCAGACUAAAAAAAAUCGACAUCGUUGCCGUUGCGCGGUGGCGUUUGUCGGAAGGUGGGUUAUCUUUAAUCUUUGGUUUAAUCGACUUAAAAUUUUCUUUACGUUUCCAUGAACGUUUUCAAGAUUUAUUUCUUUACACGUUUAAGGUGUCGAUUUUAUUUGGCGUG